ACGGAAGUCUGAUGGAGCAACGCCACGUGAGUGAUGAAGGUUUUCGGAUCGUAAAACUCUGUUGUAAGGGAAGAACCAGUACGUCAGGCAAUGGACGUACCUUGACGGUACCUGCAGAAGAAGCACCGGCUAACUACGUGCCAGCAGCCGCGGUGAUACGUAGGGUGCGAGCGUUGUCCGGAAUUAUUGGGCGUAAAGAGCUUGUAGGCGGUCCGUCGCGUCGGAAGUGAAAACUCAGGGCUUAACCCUGAGCCUGCUUUCGAUACGGGCAGACUUGAGGGAUGUAGGGGAGAACGGAAUUCCUGGUGGAGCGGUGGAAUGCGCAGAUAUCAGGAGGAACACCAGUGGCGAAGGCGGUUCUCUGGACAUUUCCUGACGCUGAGAAGCGAAAGCGUGGGGAGCAAACA
Molecule: ribosomal RNA, 407 nt
Filed under: uncultured Propionicimonas sp.
Lineage: Bacteria; Bacillati; Actinomycetota; Actinomycetes; Propionibacteriales; Nocardioidaceae
Description: bacterial SSU rRNA
Rfam family: Bacterial small subunit ribosomal RNA
Source: RNAcentral